UUUAAGGAGUCUCACUCUGUUGCCCAGGCUGGAGUGCAGUGGUGUGAUCUUGGCUCACUGCAACCUCUGCCUCCCGGGUUCAAGCAAUUCUCUCUGCCUCAGCCUCCAAAGUAGCUGGGAUUACAGGCACUGGGGAAACUCUUUUUCUCCUUACUCCUGGAGAUUCUGAUUUCAUUGUGCGACCUGAUGGGGAGUUGCCAGGAGAAGGACUGCGUCGGCCUUUGGAAGCUGGUGAAGCCGCACUUGCCUGGGCCUCUCCUGGAGACUCAGCUGCUAAGUGAUUCAUUUCAGAUCCAUCUCCUUUAACUGGGAUUGGUUUUACCACCUGAAUCAAAGUAUUCCGAUAUUUUGAUUACUUAAAAAUAUAAAAGGCUUUCAGACCUAAUCUAGCCAUGACCAAAGGCCAAACUCCGCAGCCUUGUACAACUGAAGCUCAGCAGACCUUUCUGGACUUUCUCCCACUGCUCCUGUUCUACAGCCAGUUGCUGUGUUCACCAAACUUGCCUGACCCUUCCUCCUCCUGUGCUUUCACUCACUCUCCUCCUAAUUUAAUACUCAUCUCCAGCCUGCAGCACCCCAGGCAGUACACCUUCACAUGAGGAAAACACCCAUCUUUCUAGGCUCAGUUAAAAUUCUUCCUUUUAUGAAACUUCCCUGAAGUCUACCAGCAUGACAUUCUUUCUCUUUCCUAAGUCCCUAUUGCUCUUCUGCCCAUCCCACACAUUUGGCACCUAGUCACAAGUUGCUUUGUGAUAUUUCAUGUAUUACUCUAUUUACUAUGUAUAAGUCUAAUUUUCCCAUCUGGAGAUAUUUACACUUUAUGUUUCAAGAAUGAUUUGACACAACUUACUUAAAGUAUAAAAACAAACAAAAUCAGACCUCCCAAGUAAACAGUAAACUUCUUAAGGAUAAUAUGAAAUCUGUAAACCAUAAAAUGUAGGGUGGCAUAAUUAAGCUCAAGGACUAUGUGUUAUGCAUCUUAUUCCACACAUCUCCUCCCUCUUCACUCAUGUCUUAUAUACAGACGAGGUACUUUGGUACUUGCUAGAAAGUGAACAGUAUAAAAACCAAAAUUUUGUCUUAGAGAACUGGAUAUUCUUAGUUCAUGUGUAAUAAAGAACAAAUGGCUGGCUCGUUUUUAAAAAGUUGUGAUUUAUGCCCUAUGGUAUUCUCAAAAG
Long non-coding RNA from Symphalangus syndactylus (siamang), 1178 nucleotides. RefSeq lists it as uncharacterized. The record is from RefSeq and is a predicted model, not a curated record. Lineage: Eukaryota; Metazoa; Chordata; Mammalia; Primates; Hylobatidae.